CAGGAUUCUGUCUCUCCGACGGAGGCAAUGGAGGAGCUGGCUGAUGAUAACCCUCUUUCAUAAGUGCAAAGAAGAUCUGGAAUUCUACCCGAUGACUUUCAAAUGAUGAAAGGGCAGGCACACUGAGAUCCACGCUCGUUAACUGGGAAAUAUUUUACUGGUCCUUUAUGACUCUGAUGGGGCCUGAAUCGAUUAAGGAGAAGACCUCUAAAUAAAUAUUUUACGAGAUGUUCUUCCCCUU
Ornithorhynchus anatinus (platypus) is the source of this 241-nucleotide long non-coding RNA. RefSeq lists it as uncharacterized. The record is from RefSeq and is a predicted model, not a curated record. The transcript has 2 exons. Lineage: Eukaryota; Metazoa; Chordata; Mammalia; Monotremata; Ornithorhynchidae.